RNAcentral lists this ribosomal RNA (471 nucleotides) under uncultured bacterium. Its description in RNAcentral is "bacterial SSU rRNA". It matches the Rfam family "Bacterial small subunit ribosomal RNA", at positions 28 to 507 of the family's 1533-position model. The record is from RNAcentral.
GACGAACGCUGGCGGCGUGCCUAACACAUGCAAGUCGAGCGGAGAUAGACUGAUGGUAACUGAAGUUUGUCUUAGCGGCGGACGGGUGAGUAACACGUGGGCAACCUGCCUUGGAGUGGGGGAUAACACCGGGAAAUCGGUGCUAAUACCGCAUAACAUACACAAACUGCAUGGUAAGUGUAUCAAAGGAGCAAUCCGCUUUAAGAUGGGCCCGCGGCUGAUUAGCUAGUUGGUAAGGUAACGGCUUACCAAGGCGACGAUCAGUAGCCGACCUGAGAGGGUGACCGGCCACACUGGAACUGAGACACGGUCCAGACUCCUACGGGGGGCAGCAGUGGGGAAUAUUGCGCAAUGGGGGAAACCCUGACGCAGCAACGCCGCGUGGAGGAAGAAGGUCUUCGGAUUGUAAACUCCUGUCUUCUGGGACGAAGUAUGACGGUACCAGAGGAGGAAGCCACGGCUAACUACGUG